AGUGAACGCUGGCGGUAGGCCUAACACAUGCAAGUCGAACGGCAGCACAGUAAGAGCUUGCUCUUACGGGUGGCGAGUGGCGGACGGGUGAGGAAUACAUCGGAAUCUACUUUUUCGUGGGGGAUAACGUAGGUAAACUUCUCCUAAUACCCCUUACGCCCUACGGGGGAAGCCAGGGGAUCUUCGGACCUUGGUGGAUUGAAUAGGCCGAUGUCGGAUUAGCUAGUUGGCGGGGUAAAGGCCCACCAAGGCGACGAUCCGUAGCUGGUCUGAGAGGAUGAUCAGCCACACUGGAACUGAGACACGGUCCAGACUCCUACGGGAGGCAGCAGUGGGGAAUAUUGGACAAUGGGCGCAAGCCUGAUCCAGCCAUACCGCGUGGGUGAAGAAGGCCUUCGGGUUGUAAAGCCCUUUUGUUGGGAAAGAAAAGCAGCAGGUUAAUACCCCGCUGUUCUGACGGUACCCAAAGAAUAAGCACCGGCUAACUUCGUG
RNAcentral lists this ribosomal RNA (492 nucleotides) under uncultured bacterium. RNAcentral's name for it is "partial 16S ribosomal RNA". It matches the Rfam family "Bacterial small subunit ribosomal RNA", at positions 29 to 507 of the family's 1533-position model. The record is from RNAcentral.